UGUAACUGGAAUAUAUGGCCCAAUGUACUUCACACGGUCGCCUAAAAGCAGUAAUGUAGUUAAUUACAUGAAUAUAGCUAAUGCAAAUGGGAAAAUCAAAGUAAAUAUCCAACAAGAUGAUUUAUUAAAAGUUUGCACCAUCAUUCAAUAUCACAAGUUCAAAUUAUCGGCUUGCGGCAAGUGCCUGUAUUAAAGUUCUGCUUGCGAGUAGACAAACUACAAAGUACAAAAUAACAUAUAACAAGUUCAUGAUAUGUAAGAUCAAAGUUACCUUUUCUUAGUUGACAUUCAAAUUUAUCAUCGAACUUGCCAUCAUUAGACUUGAAAGUCUCAGACUCUCCAGAGGUUAUCUGCCAUUAGAGAAUGAGAUAUCAAACCAUCUAUUGCAGCUUAAUGAGUUCAAAGCUUCUAUACUCAUCUCAUGUACACUUGAGAGCUAUGCACAGUGAUUUUUAAUGAUAGUCCAAUAGUUAGGGUAGACUGUAUCCCUCUAUCUAGGAAAACCAUAGGCUAGAUUAUUGAGAGAUUUAGAGGUAAAUAACCUAUAUAUAAACUUAAUAUAUGGCAAAGCAGUAUGACAUAGACUGAUUUGUAUAAUGGGAAAAGGCAUGGUUGUUGUUGUUGUAUAAAUUGUGAUCAUUUAGAAAGGAAACUUAACAACCUGGGCUAGUAAUAGAACAAUACAAAAAUAGAAUCGUUGUGCAGACACAAUAAAGCUAAACAUUGGGUGAGUUUUGAAACUAGCAAGCAAAUAGAUAGGCGACAUUAACACUAGCAUCAGAAUGCCAUUUUUAAAUAUCCAUUAUCUUAAGUUAAACUCCAUGCUCUAAUUAAAAGCUUCCCUGGUACUUCAUUUUACUACAGCCAAGAAACUUAAAAGAAAAUAUAUCAUUACUCAUAAACAAUUACUAAUAGCCUAUACACCUUCGGCAAUUCUUCAACAUUAUAUGGGACAAGUUUCUGAACAGCCGCUUUAAUUUUCUCAACGACUGCUUCGGCAGAAGCCUCUGCAU
Molecule: long non-coding RNA, 1013 nt
Filed under: Lotus japonicus
Lineage: Eukaryota; Viridiplantae; Streptophyta; Magnoliopsida; Fabales; Fabaceae
Description: long non-coding RNA (LJAP_LNC000616)
Source: RNAcentral